AUUGAACGCUGGCGGCAUGCCUAACACAUGCAAGUCGAGCGGAUGCAGGGAGCUUGCUCCUGGAUUCAGAGGCGGACAGGUGUGUAAUGCCUAGGAGUCUGCCUCCCAUUGGGGGAUAACGUCCGCGAACGGGCGCUAAUACCGCACACUUUCCUAUCGAGAAAGAGGGGGAUCUUCGGACCUCACGCCAUCAGAUGAGCCUAGGUGGGCUUAGCUAGUUGGUGGGUGAAUGGCCUCCCAACGCGACGAUCCGUAACUGGUCUGAGAGGAAGAUCCGUCACACGGGAACUGAGACACGGUCCAGACUCCUACGGGAGGAAGCAGUGGGGAAUAUUGGACAAUGGGCGAAAGCCUGAUCCAGCCAUGCAGCGUGUGUGAAGAAGGUCUUCGGAUUGUAAAGCACUUUAAGUUGGGAGGAAGGGCAGUAAGUUAAUACCUUGCUGUUUUGACGUUACCAACAGAAUAAGCACCGGCUAACUUCGUG
Molecule: ribosomal RNA, 484 nt
Filed under: uncultured bacterium
Lineage: Bacteria
Description: partial 16S ribosomal RNA
Rfam family: Bacterial small subunit ribosomal RNA
Source: RNAcentral